RNAcentral lists this transfer RNA (77 nucleotides) under Candidatus Nomurabacteria bacterium. RNAcentral describes it as "tRNA-Arg". It matches the Rfam family "tRNA". From Rfam's summary of the family: Transfer RNA (tRNA) molecules are approximately 80 nucleotides in length. Their secondary structure includes four short double-helical elements and three loops (D, anti-codon, and T loops). Lineage: Bacteria; Candidatus Nomuraibacteriota. The record is from RNAcentral.
GCACCCGUAGCUCAGUUGGAUAGAGCGUUGGCUUGCGGAGCCAAAGGUCGUACGUUCAAAUCGUAUCGGGUGUACCA